AUUGAACGCUGGCGGCAUGCUUUACACAUGCAAGUCGGACGGCAGCACAGAGAUGCUUGCUUCUUGGGUGGCGAGUGGCGAACGGGUGAGCUACAUAUCGGAACGUACCGAGCAGAGGGGGAUAACUAAUCGAAAGAUUAGCUAAUACCGCAUAGCUUCUGAGGAAGAAAGCAGGGGACCAUUUGGCCUUGCGCUGUUUGAGCGGCCGAUAUCUGAUUAGCUAGUUGGUGGGGUAAAGGCCUACCAAGGCGACGAUCAGUAGCGGGUCUGAGAGGAUGAUCCGCCACACUGGAACUGAGACACGGCCCAGACUCCUACGGGAGGCAGCAGUGGGGAAUUUUGGACAAUGGGCGAAAGCCUGAUCCAGCCAUGCCGCGUGUGUGAAGAAGGCCUUCGGGUUGUAAAGGACUUUUGUCAGGGAAGAAGAGGGCGGGGUUAAUACCCCUGUCUGAUGACGUUACCUAAAGAAUAAGCACCGGCUAACUACGUG
This 490-nucleotide ribosomal RNA is filed under the name uncultured bacterium. RNAcentral describes it as "partial 16S ribosomal RNA". It matches the Rfam family "Bacterial small subunit ribosomal RNA", at positions 30 to 507 of the family's 1533-position model. The record is from RNAcentral.